This is a long non-coding RNA of Ictalurus punctatus (channel catfish), 620 nucleotides long. Lineage: Eukaryota; Metazoa; Chordata; Actinopteri; Siluriformes; Ictaluridae. The record is from Ensembl.
AAUCGGUCUGACAGCAGUCAGUCACACAGAGACACCGAACACCGAGCACAGAGACAAGGUAACGGCGUAGUGAAUGAAUGAAACAAACAAUAAUAAGAGAAACGGCGAGGCUGCGCGGCGUUGAUGCUAACGCGGAGUUUGGUGUCGGUUAUCAGAGCGAGAGGGAGAAGGAGCGGAGAGAGAAGCAGAUCCAGAAGAAGAGGAAGGAGUACCUGGUGAAGGAGCUGGAGGGACUGCUCAAGCACGAAGGUUCGGGCGAUCUGAUCCCCGUGAUCGGCUUCUUCUGUCAGCGCUGUGAGGAGUUUUUCGGGGACCUGAGCAGCGCAGAGGGAACAAAACACACCGACGCACACCAGGAUCAGCAGAUUAAAGACAGUAAGAGGCAGCGAGAGCACAAGCCCGCGGAGUGCCGAGACCGAGACGAGCGGAGCGCCGAGAGGAAACGACCGAGAGAAGACACGAGCCCUCGCAGGACCGAGGACAAGUCCAGAGUCCGGGAGACGAACCCAGGAAAGAGGAUGACGCCCAGUCGAGUAACACCGCCAAGAAGAAAAAGAAGAAAGACAAGAAGAAAAAGAAGGAGAAAAGAAAGAGAAGAAGAAAAAGAACAAGGCUGGGGA